UACGGAGGGUGCAAGCGUUAUCCGGAUUCACUGGGUUUAAAGGGUGCGUAGGAGGGCAGGUAAGUCAGUGGUGAAAUCCUGGGGCUUAACCCCAGAACUGCCGUUGAUACUAUCUGUCUUGAAUACCGUGGAGGUGAGCGGAAUAUGUCAUGUAGCGGUGAAAUGCUUAGAUAUGACAUAGAACACCAAUUGCGAAGGCAGCUCGCUACACGAAUAUUGACUCUGAGGCACGAAAGCGUGGGGAUCAAACAGGAUUAGAUACCCUGGUAGUCCACGCCCUAAACGAUGGAUACUCGACAUACGCGAUACACUGUGUGUGUCUGAGCGAAAGCAUUAAGUAUCCCACCUGGGAAGUACGACCGCAAGGUUGAA
Molecule: ribosomal RNA, 372 nt
Filed under: uncultured bacterium
Lineage: Bacteria
Description: bacterial SSU rRNA
Rfam family: Bacterial small subunit ribosomal RNA
Source: RNAcentral